Long non-coding RNA from Chelonus insularis, 731 nucleotides. RefSeq lists it as uncharacterized. The record is from RefSeq and is a predicted model, not a curated record. The transcript is spliced from 3 exons. Lineage: Eukaryota; Metazoa; Arthropoda; Insecta; Hymenoptera; Braconidae.
UCGAUUUUUAAUUAAUAAUUGAAGGAAUUUUUCUAAAAAUUAUUGUUCUUGAUUUUUAAUCCAUGGUUUUAUCGAAGAAUUAUGACGCUUAUUCCAUUGAUGACAAUUUUUUUUCUAUCAAAAAACUAUGACUGUCUAAAAUGUAAAGACCACCUGCUAUCAAAUGUUCUACACGCAAUAUAUUCCUAGUGUGUUAGGUUUCAAGAUAAUAAUAAUACUAACCCGAUGCAAAGGAAAUUCAAUAGGGUCGCUCACUGUGAAGAGGAAAAACUUCAUAUCAAGUAUUUAUAUUACAACUGGUUUGCAGAAGAAAAUACAAUUUACAUCUUUAAAAAAGAUGAUUGACUAUUAAUAAUAGACAAUGGAACAAUCUAGAGUAUUAUAAUGGCUUAAACACCUAAUUACAAAGUUUAUCAUCGUUGUAAAAUUUAUGUAGUCAUAUCUUAUACACCAGGAUGGAAAAUUACAGAGGCUAGAAAAUAAAGAGAGAGAAGUCAUCAAGAAAAUUGUCAGUUGCAUCGUAAAAUAGAUAAUGCAAUAAGAAUUCUUGUCUAGACUUUAGAAGCUUUAUCUUACAAGUCUUUACAUAGGAAUGAUAAAUUUGCAAUAAUAGAGUACUUGCAAACUCGUUUACAUCUACAGAUUUUACAUUACAGAACUGAAAUGCAAAUAUAAUCAUUAUUUCUCGACAAAUAUUAGUUGAGAUUAUUUCCACAGUUUAUAUUUCACCA